This 83-nucleotide transfer RNA is filed under the name Pedobesia claviformis. RNAcentral describes it as "tRNA-Tyr". It matches the Rfam family "tRNA". From Rfam's summary of the family: Transfer RNA (tRNA) molecules are approximately 80 nucleotides in length. Their secondary structure includes four short double-helical elements and three loops (D, anti-codon, and T loops). The record is from RNAcentral. Lineage: Eukaryota; Viridiplantae; Chlorophyta; Ulvophyceae; Bryopsidales; Derbesiaceae.
GGGUCGAUGCUCGAGUGGUUAAUGGGGAUGGAUUGUAAAUCCAUUGGUUUUUACCUUCACUGGUUCAAAUCCAGUUCGACCCA